This 487-nucleotide ribosomal RNA is filed under the name uncultured Verrucomicrobiota bacterium. Its description in RNAcentral is "bacterial SSU rRNA". It matches the Rfam family "Bacterial small subunit ribosomal RNA", at positions 224 to 704 of the family's 1533-position model. Lineage: Bacteria; Pseudomonadati; Verrucomicrobiota. The record is from RNAcentral.
GAAGAGCCCGCGGCCUAUCAGCUAGUUGGUGAGGUAACGGCCCACCAAGGCGAUGACGGGUAGCUGGUCUGAGAGGACGACCAGCCACACUGGGACUGAGACACGGCCCAGACACCUACGGGUGGCAGCAGUCGAGAAUUUUUCUCAAUGGGGGAAACCCUGAAGGAGCGACGCCGCGUGGAGGAUGAAGGUCUUCGGGUUGUAAACUCCUGUCAUUUGGGAACAAGGUGCGCGCGUUAACUGCGCGCGCAUUGAUAGUACCAGAAGAGGAAGAGACGGCUAACUCUGUGCCAGCAGCCGCGGUAAUACAGAGGUCUCAAGCGUUGUUCGGAUUCAUUGGGCGUAAAGGGUGCGUAGGCGGCGCGGUAAGUCGGGUGUGAAAUCUCGGGGCUUAACUCCGAAACUGCAUUCGAUACUGCCGUGCUUGAGGACUGGAGAGGAGACUGGAAUUUACGGUGUAGCGGUGAAAUGCGUAGAUAUCGUAAGG